This 253-nucleotide ribosomal RNA is filed under the name uncultured bacterium. RNAcentral's name for it is "partial 16S ribosomal RNA". It matches the Rfam family "Bacterial small subunit ribosomal RNA", at positions 524 to 776 of the family's 1533-position model. The record is from RNAcentral.
GACGGAGGGUGCGAGCGUUAUUCGGAAUUAUUGGGCGUAAAGGGCGUGCAGGCGGCCGGCCAAGUCUGAUGUGAAAGCCCGGGGCUUAACCUCGGAAGGGCGUUGGAAACUGGUUGGCUUGAGUUCGGGAGAGGAAAGCGGAAUUUCGGGUGUAGAGGUGAAAUUCGUAGAUAUCCGGAGGAACACCGGUGGCGAAGGCGGCUUUCUGGACCGAAACUGACGCUGAGACGCGAAAGCGUGGGGAGCAAACAGG